GACGAAGGGGGCAAGCGUUGUUCGGAAUUACUGGGCGUAAAGGGCGCGUAGGCGGUUCUUUAAGUCAGGCGUGAAAGCCCUGGGCUCAACCUGGGAGUGGCGCUUGAUACUGGAGGACUAGAGAGUGGGAGAGGUUGGUGGAAUUCCUGGUGUAGCGGUGAAAUGCGUAGAUAUCAGGAGGAACACCUGUGGCGAAAGCGGCUCACUGGACCACAACUGACGCUGAUGCACGAAAGCUAGGGGAGCAAACAGG
RNAcentral lists this ribosomal RNA (253 nucleotides) under uncultured bacterium. RNAcentral's name for it is "partial 16S ribosomal RNA". It matches the Rfam family "Bacterial small subunit ribosomal RNA", at positions 524 to 776 of the family's 1533-position model. The record is from RNAcentral.